This 501-nucleotide ribosomal RNA is filed under the name uncultured bacterium. RNAcentral's name for it is "partial 16S ribosomal RNA". It matches the Rfam family "Bacterial small subunit ribosomal RNA", at positions 30 to 523 of the family's 1533-position model. The record is from RNAcentral.
AUUGAACGCUGGCGGCAGGCUUAACACAUGCAAGUCGAGCGGAGAGAGGUAGCUUGCUACUGAUCUUAGCGGCGGACGGGUGAGUAAUGCUUAGGAAUCUGCCUAUUAGUGGGGGACAACAUUUCGAAAGGAAUGCUAAUACCGCAUACGUCCUACGGGAGAAAGCAGGGGAUCUUCGGACCUUGCGCUAAUAGAUGAGCCUAAGUCGGAUUAGCUAGUUGGUGGGGUAAAGGCCUACCAAGGCGACGAUCUGUAGCGGGUCUGAGAGGAUGAUCCGCCACACUGGGACUGAGACACGGCCCAGACUCCUACGGGAGGCAGCAGUGGGGAAUAUUGGACAAUGGGCGGAAGCCUGAUCCAGCCAUGCCGCGCGUGUGAAGAAGGCCUUAUGGUUGUAAAGCACUUUAAGCGAGGAGGAGGCUACUUUAGUUAAUACCUAGAGAUAGUGGACGUUACUCGCAGAAUAAGCACCGGCUAACUCUGUGCCAGCAGCCGCGGUAA